UUGUUGUUCAGCAGCUUUCCUGUGGUCAGUCACAGGGCUGUUGUUGUUCAGCAGCUUUCCUGUGGUCAGUCACAGGGCUGUUGUUGUUCAGCAGCUUUCCUGUGGUCAGUCACAGGGUUGUUGUUCAGCAGCUUUCCUGUGGUCAGUCACAGGGCUGUUGUUCAGCAGCUUUCCUGUGGUCAGUCACAGGGCUGUUGUUCAGCAGCUUUCCUGUGGUCAGUCACAGGGCUGUUGUUCAGCAGCUUUCCUGUGGUCAGUCACAGGGCUGUUGUUGUUCAGCAGCUUUCCUGUGGUCAGUCACAGGGCUGUUGUUGUUCAGCAGCUUUCCUGUGGUCAGUCACAGGGCUGUUGUUCAGCAGCUUUCCUGUGGUCAGUCACAGGGCUGUUGUUCAGCAGCUUUCCAGUUGGACUAAAAUUAUACUUUUUCUUUCUCACGUCUCUGUGCAGCUUUCUUCCAUUGAAAAAUCUAUAUUUUGGAUAUUUUGGAGCUGUGGAAUUGUAGUCAGAUUAAAUCUCUUUAGUGUUCAGAUUAAAUAUAUUUUGAACUGAUAUUGUAGUGGGAUUUAAAUUCUAUCACAUGCAUAUUGCUAUAUUAAAGUAGCCUUGUUGCAUCGUCGUGACUAACUGAAUCUAAUCUCUGUCUAGGACCAGACAUAGCAGGGCAUUGUACAGUAGAAGAGUUGCAAACAGACAAUGUUUAUCUCAGAGCAGGUACCAUAGAUUUACUAGGAUGGGAAUUCCCAGUCAAGUCAAUGUAACAUGAUUGGUUGACUUGUAUUUCUACGGCUGGGCCAUUUCAGUCGUUGGCUUGUCAAGAUGGAAUCUACUGGCUUUCUAAUACCUCAGCACUGGAGUUUAGUUUCAGUCAAGUCUCCUUUCUGAAGCACCUGGGACUUGGAAAGGGAACAUCCCUGUCCUUUUAACAUGAGACUGAGUCUAAAGGGUUAAAUCGGUUCAGCUUUGACCAAGAUGCCAUGCAGUCAACAGACGGCACGUUCAGUCAUUGUAGGUUCCCAGUUUCUGCAGGAGGACCCCCUGGUUCUGAUGCUGCUGUAUCUACAGGCUUUCCUGGUUUGUAAUUUCAGUAGCCUGGCCCCAGAUCUGUGUGUUGUCUGGUCCAACUUGACAAACAGCACAAUAGCCUGGUCCCAGGUCUGUGUGUUGUCUGGUCCAACUUGACAAACAGCACAAUAGCCUGGUCCCAGGUCUGUGUGUUGUCUGGUCCAACUUGACAAACAGCACAAUAGCCUGGUCCCAGGUCUGUGUGUUGUCUGGUCCAACUUGACAAACAGCACAAAAGCCAGGUCCCAGGUCUGUGUGUUGUCUGGUCCAACUUGACAAACUGUUCUCCAUCUCUCCUUAACUGAUACCUCCACAUGAUGGAGAGAGGGGGGCAUUCGGUUCAAUUUACCCAAUGGUUAAGGGCUCACUGGGUCAUUUACCCAAUGGUUAAGGGCUCACUGGGUCAUUUACCCAAUGGUUAAGGGCUCACUGGGUCAUUUACCCAAUGGUUAAGGGCUCACUGGGUCAUUUACCCAAUGGUUAAGGGCUCACUGGGUCAUUUACCCAAUGGUUAAGGGCUCACAAUGUAAUUGUACUUCUGUGUGAUCAUUUGGUUGGAGAAGUCAGUGAGGCACUUUACUGCAGACACUGUGGGCCUUCAGGAACUGGGUCUGCUUGGAUACCUUGGUUGUGUUCCAGACCAGUGAACAUUUAUAUGGGACGUAAUGUUCCUUGGGCUCCAAAUAGGCUUCUUUCUAUUCCUUAUGUCUUGUUUUUGUUUAGUUAAUAUACAGAAAUUGGUUUUAUUUCUGGAAGCAAAAAGACACAUGGAUUUAUUAGGUGCCUUGUCAUCUUAUACUUUAUACUGGAAAAAUGUGAUUUGCAUUUUUUUUUUUUUAUACAAACGAAACGUAUGUAAUUCAAACACGAUGCAAACGUUCACCAAGAACUUAUUUGGCAUUGGAGAUACUUGCCGACAAUGUGAAAAUGUAACCAAUCUCUUGUAAUGAGAAUGAUGGUGGUUUUGGGCCCCAGGUCAGGGUUGUGUUCAUUAGGCAUCACACAAGAAAACUAACUGAAACUGGGUUCAAUCACUGAAACGGUUUCCAGCUGCAAAAUAUUUAAACCGUGAUCGGAUCUGUGCCCUAAUAAACACUACCCAGGUUCCCCUACUGGCCCGAUCACCCUGUCAUUGAACUAAACCUCAGAUAUCACCAGCUUACAUUGUCUUUCUUUCUUGUAAAGUCAUAAGGAUGUAAUUCAGAGCACAGCCCCUGAAGUUUUAAACGUGAAUGUUAAGAUGGGUCCAAGCCACGGUUUGGGGGGGGGGGAUACUGCAUCUUAACCUCCAAGUCUAAAUCAAGUUCAAUACUUUACUGUGAUGUGGUCCAGUUGGAUGUAGCCUGAGUCCAUCUGCUUGGGCUAUUAUGCCAACUCAUUGUCAUGCUAAAUGUUUGGCUUGACUGACAGCAAUGAAGUAGGCAAAAAGCACAAACAGACUGGCACUCGGGCUAUUGUGGAUGCCCGCCAGUUAAACUCAGGUUACGUAAAGACAUCUACCUCUGCAGGUGAGAACUGUGAAAGCAGAGCUAGUUAAUGUUCAGAAAGCUUUGGGCCCACAUUCCCCUUUAAGAUUGUGAAAUGUUCUUAUAGUCCAGUCUCUCGCUUUUCAAUAAACUAUUUUGUAGUAUUUCAAA
Oncorhynchus keta (chum salmon) is the source of this 2699-nucleotide long non-coding RNA. RefSeq lists it as uncharacterized. Lineage: Eukaryota; Metazoa; Chordata; Actinopteri; Salmoniformes; Salmonidae. The record is from RefSeq and is a predicted model, not a curated record. The transcript has 2 exons.